Transfer RNA from Ovis aries (sheep), 72 nucleotides. It matches the Rfam family "tRNA". Rfam says of the family: Transfer RNA (tRNA) molecules are approximately 80 nucleotides in length. Their secondary structure includes four short double-helical elements and three loops (D, anti-codon, and T loops). The record is from Rfam. NCBI's taxonomy places the organism in Eukaryota, Metazoa, Chordata, Mammalia, Artiodactyla, Bovidae.
UCCCUGGUGGUUCAGACGGUAAAGCAUCUGCCUGCAAUGUAGGACACCCGGGUUCGAUUCCUGGGUUGGGAA